Molecule: ribosomal RNA, 93 nt
Filed under: Rhinopithecus bieti (black snub-nosed monkey)
Lineage: Eukaryota; Metazoa; Chordata; Mammalia; Primates; Cercopithecidae
Source: RNAcentral
AUCUAUGGCCAUAGCACACUGAUCUGUGAAGCAGGAUCAGGCCGGGUCAGUACUUAAAUGGGAGCUACCUGGGAAUACUGGGUGCAGUAGUCU